CCUUGGUGCGUUCCCCGUGCUGGCCGCCGCCGCGCUCGCUCCCCGUCGCUGGCUUUAGGAGCGACCCGGCCGGUAAAUCCGCAUAUUUGCUGCCGUCAGCCCCGGGAGGGGACCGCGGAGCGUGGCUGCAGCUCCCGCCGCACCACCGAUCACCUGUCUGGACUCUCGGCCCGGUACCAGCUACCGCCUCGCCUCUCCCUGAGGGCUCCGGGCAGUCCGGAGAGCCUGUCCCCGGGCCUUCCUCUCGCCGCUGCCGCCCCGGGCCGGGCACGGCGCGGCCCAGCACGGCGCGGCCCGGCGGCCUGCGUGCGCCCCUCCGCGGCGCGCCCUCGGCUACGGCGCGGCGCUCCGCCCUCCGCCCGCCGGGGCCGGGCAGCUCCCGCGGCCGCGCCGCCUGGCAGCAGCCUACCCGCCCGGGGCCUCGCUACGCCGCCCGCGCGGGCCGGAGGGCGGGCGGAGGGCCGAGCUGGCGCCGCUGCCGCCGCAGCAGCAGCCGCGGGAAGACCAGAGGAGGAGGUGGAGAAGAAGGCGCAGGCAGGCCGGGCUCCAGGAGUUGAGCGGGCUCCGCAGGACGCGCGUGUGGAGCCGGCCGGCGACAGGGAGGGGGUUAUAGCGCCGCCACCGCGCCCCUCCCCCUCCCCCGCCCCCCGCCUCCCCCGGAUUCCGGGCCCGGGACCCGCACCUCGGAAGCGCUCAGGGGUCUCGCGGGCCAGAUCGGGCCCGGCCGCCACCGCCACUGCAGUGGCCACACACGCGCUCACGCAGGCAGCUACAUCCAUCCAAGCUCGGCGCCCGCGGCUCGGAGCCCACAGGCGCCCGGGCUCCCGGAGCGCCCCUCCCUCGAGCUUGCCCACCCUUCAGUGCCAGCUGCAAUCCUGCGGCACCGGGCGGGGAGGGGAGGAGGCCGCUGCAGAAGCACGGCCGUCUCUGGCUCGCCUCUCUCUCGGGCCCCAGCGGCAGUAAAGGGCAGCGCCCAGAGCUGCUGCGCCAAAAAGGGCAUGAGAGUCGGCUUGGCCCCCGCCCGGCGCUCGGGCCGCUUCCCACUGUAAGGAUCCAGUGCUCCAGCCUUCCCCUCUCCAUAAAAGGAGGGGGAGUGAGUCUUUGCGGAGAGGCGGGGCGGGUUUAGGGGCGCGUCUAGGGCACUCACCUGACGGCUGCCACGCGCCCGCGCCCCAGAGCCAAAGCCUGGGACACCUGAUUGAGGAACUUGCACUCUUGUGUGGAGGUGGAAGCGAGGCUAGGGUCGGGGAGGAGGCUGCCUCCUGCCUCAUCGCCACCUUGACACCCUGCACCCUCCAGAUCCUUAGCCCCUGGCCGAAGGCCUAGCCGAACCCUGAAUGGGGAGCUGGAGGGAUAGAAGGAAAGAUAGAAAAGAAGCGGCUGGUGAGGAACUCCUGGGUUCUACCUUGGGAUCCAAGGCAGCGCAGAGCGCCACCUCCGGCCAAGGCACAGUACAGACGGGUGGCGGGGAAGGCACAUGCGGACAGAAGUCUGAUCAGGGCUGGACGGUUCUCCCAUUGAGAGAGAUGGAUUCCUGGUGGGAUGUGACCCGACGGCAAGGCCAGUCCUGUCAGCUCCUUAACUCGGGUUAGAGGAUUGUGGACCUUUCAAAUCCCAAAGUUAGCCUCCUAGGGCUCUGGAGACUAUGGAGGGCUCCAAGGGUAGGGAUGCAACUGGAUACAGCCUGUCCAGUUCACUCCCUUUCAUGUGAAUUAACCCGUGCACCCAGCCCGGGUCCAAUCCCCCACCAAUCUUCUUUGUCCCCAGACAAAGGCGCAGCCGGGCAGGAGCCUUUCAUCCCCAGCUUCCCGGGUUCCUGCAUUUCAAAGGCUGAGCUGGAAGGGCCCAACACGGGCGGCUCACCUAGCUCCAAAUACCUGGUGGGCGUGGGGGGAGGGGGUAGCUGAAGAUCUUUGGAGCCCAAAUCUACAGACUUCCUUAGGCCUGUAGGCCCCAUCACCACGCCCCAGCCCUAACACCUCGGGAUGCUCAGGAGAUAAGAGGACACCCUCUCUUGGCCUAAAGAGGGAGUAUGGAAAACGUUGAGAAGCGCCCCACCUCGAGGUCUUCGAAAGCCCAGGCCUUGUCCGUACUGGUGAAACUUUAUGCUGCUCUGAAGAGGAUGACUUCUGGUGGCGACUGCCAGGACCACUCUAGACCUGAGUCGAGUUCCUCACCGUUUUAUCCCGAUUGUUCUGCGCGGCCUGUCCCGCCAAGCCCUCGGCCUUCUCACAGGCAGAGAGCACCAAAGGACACCUUUUUGCGGUUCGACGACCCGGUGUGACGGUGGAUGUGAGAAUCCAGGAAGAAGAUCCGGUUGCAUUGCUGGGAUGCCGCGCCUGUCCGGCCACCACCUCCGCAUGGAGGCUGCGGGUUCCUGGGGACCCCACCUAGUUCGGUGCUUCUCUCUCCCUUUACUCUCUUGGCGCAGCAGGGACGCCCAGCUGGAAAUCAAAGCCGGGCGGGAGGGAUUCUGAAGACGCUAGGGGACAUCAGGGACCAGAAUGAGGCUAGGCCUGGAUUCAUCGCCCGGGACGCGGGAGCCACGGGGAGCUGGGCGCAGGCACUGCUCUAAUCGCCGACCGCUAUUAAAAAUAAAACCGCGACCCGUCGUCAUAGCGACCGCAACAACAGCGGCCGCGCGAGGGUGGUAAGAGCUUGUGCAGCCCGGCGCCAGCCGCCUGAGGGGACUGGGGCACGGGCCCUAAAGCUUACAAGGUACUCUGGUGUGAGACAACGACCCCUACCCCCACCCCCACAGCCGACCCCCGACCCCCACUGUUCCUCCUGGUUCUCGCUAGACUCUUGGUCUCUGAAAACUGGAACUGGCUAAGUCAUGAGGUCAAGAGCCUAAAGGACCCGCCGGCUCAAACUACCCCCCACCCCCACCCUAUGCCUCGGCUUCCCUUGGGACCCGUGACAGUCCUCAUUUUAGCCUCUGGAGAAGGGGUUGAGUGAGGGGGUGAGGUUCAGGUGUCAGGCCUCCAAAGAACACCAAGAGACCAAGCCGAGCUGGAGGGGUUGCAUGCGCUCGAGGCCACCGCACCUGUCCCGCCCGCGCCUCCGUGAUCCUUUCUGGUGGGAGAGAUCACGUGCUUCCUUCUGGCUGGGAUUCGAGUUUCACUUCCAGCCGCUAUUAGGCGGUUCACUCGGUUCACUGCAAACAUUUGAUAAUGAGGCUAAAUAUACUUUAGAGUCGGAGGAGGUGUGGGCGGCUGCUGCCCUAGCCUGUAGGUGCGUCGCUCCAGGCUCCAUGGGGCAUCCCCGCCCCAGCAGCUGAGAACAAUCCCCCAAGUCGGAUUCGAGAGAAAGACCCGCACCCACCCAUUCCCCCCAAAAUCCAGUCCUAACUAGGAGCAUCUUAGGGACUGUGGGCGCCUGAGGUCAGCUGGAGGGUCCCUGGAGGAAGUAGGCGGUAAGCAGCCGGGAGCUUAGAAAGGUGGGGAGAGGAACCAGACAGUGCACCUGGCGGUGACCAGAGAUGUCCGGUCGCCCCCAGAACAGAUGCUUCCGUCCUGUCUCCAGUGCCCCCGGCACAGUGCGACAUAUCCUCCCGCCCAUAAUUAAAGUGUCAAGUGUUUCAAAUAGCUCAAGAGAGGGAGUGCGCAGCUGGGGUGACCAGGUAGCAUCUAACCCUUGUUGGUACCCUCUCAACCCAAGACCCAGACUUUACAGAGAAGCUUUGAAAGGAGGGAGACCAUCCAAUUUGCUCAUCAUUUUAAACGUAAAGCACACCUUUUCACCAAAGACUCAUCCACCUAGCUAGUGCCCUUCAACUGCUUGGAACUCAAUUAUCCGUGCUCAAUUAUUGCAGCCAUUGUUACUCAUCAGCUGCAAGGACCGAUACUGAGCUCUGAUACCGAUGCCGGUCUUUUGCCCUGUAAAAUAAUUUCAAACAGCCACCCUGAGGCAAAGGGACUUAGACCCCCUUCCCAAUGAUAGAGCAAGGUGAGACUGGGUCCCAGGCACUGAGUGCCUCAUCCCCUGGGAGAUCCAAGAAUAUGGAGUGGCCCAGGUUGCUUUUGUAUUAGGCAAGUGUGUGAAGGCAAUAUAAAUGGGUAGCUCCAGGACUGCACACCGCACCACUUGCCACACCCCCCUGGAAGGUCUCCCUGCUCUUUGCUGCUUAACUUUGGUCUUGUGUGCUCUGUCCCUGGCUUGCCCUGAAUUCCGUUCCUUUAUCUGGAAAAAUAACCAAAGUGGAAGUCGGUGCUGCGCCCCUGCAGGUGGUCUCUACCCCCAGCAGUCCCCAGCAACCCACUGGACCCUCUCUGUAAGGGUGGGGCCAUCUGGGCCCCAGGCUUCCAGGCUCUGCCAGAGCCAUCCCAGAACAAUUUGUAGUGUUGAAACACCAGUUUCCCUUUAUCUCUGGGCAAAGCUUUCUUGGUUCUGGGCAAUUAACCCAAAUGGAGCCUCAGCCAUGUGGGCUCUAGUCCUUGAAGAUCAAAAGUGCCGGGCCACAAGCCUUAAUUAUGUCAUUAUCUUGCCCCCCUUUUUACCCCCAGGCUAAGGAUCGGGCCUUUCCAGUUCAGGCUCCCCAGAAAACAAGAUAAGUCUGUGCUGGGGUGGGAGGGCACCUCCAGGCUGCUUUCCACUCCCUAGUAAGUGUUUUUAUUUUCACUUUUAACUACACAAACAGAAAUUACAAGUCCACAGUAGGCUGGCGAAUAUUUUGUGAAUGAAGACACACACACACACACACGCACACACCCGUAAAGGAACGUGUAGUGGCUUUGGAGGGAAAAGCCUAGGGGCUAGGGAAUGGACGUGAUAGUGUGCUUACCUGCCAUACACAAGGCCCUGGGUUCUGCUCCCAGCACCAAAUCAAAACAACUCUGGUGAUGCAUACUUGUAAUUCCAGCAUUCUGGAGGCCGGAGUUCAAGGUCAUCCUUGGGACACACAGUGAGCUCAAGGCCAGCCAGGAAUACAUUAGACCCCGUCUUAAAGAGGAAGGAAGGAGAAAGGAGAGGAGAAAAACCUCAGCCAGAUAUGGUGGUGCAGUUCUAUAAUCUUAGUACUCAAGAGGUUGAGUAUUGCUUUAAGAAUAGCCUGGGCUAUCCUUAUAGUAAGAUCCUGUCUCAAAACACACAAAACAAAACAAAGUAGAAACCCAAAGACUAGAGUCAGAAAUUACAGCUUCUCAUGGCCACCAGGCAUUUAGCUGUGUCUGGUCAGAACGGUUGCCUGCAAAGCACGGGGCUUAAGAAAACCCAAUACUCUAGAUCUUACAUAGGGUAGAGAAAAACAUUUUAGUUGUGUGUGUUUUUCAGGUAUAUCUGUGUACCACAUCCCUGCUUGGUGCCUCAAGAGUCCAGAAGAGGGCGUCAGAUCCCAUGAAACUGGAGUUACAGACUCCAGUGAGCUGCCAUGUGCAUGCUGGGAAUCAAACCCAGGUCCUCUAAAAGAGCAGCCGGUGCUCUUAACCAGCCCCCAGAGUAAAUCUUUUUGUUAGUGAUUUCUGUACUAUGGAUUAGAGUGAUAACAUUUUGCAGGUAUGAAGUUUAAUAAAGUAAAUAUGGUUACUA
This 5526-nucleotide long non-coding RNA is filed under the name Mus musculus (house mouse). RNAcentral describes it as "RIKEN cDNA 6330403L08 gene (6330403L08Rik)". The record is from RNAcentral. Lineage: Eukaryota; Metazoa; Chordata; Mammalia; Rodentia; Muridae.